UUGUAGUCUGCAACCCGACUACAUGAAGCUGGAAUCGCUAGUAAUCGCGAAUCAGAAUGUCGCGGUGAAUACGUUCCCGGGUCUUGUACACACCGCCCGUCACACCAUGGGAGUCGGAAAUGCCCGAAGUCAGUGACCUAACCGAAAGGGAGGAGCUGCCGAAGGUGGAGCCGGUAACUGGGGUGAAGUCGUAACAAGGUAGC
This 203-nucleotide ribosomal RNA is filed under the name uncultured bacterium. RNAcentral describes it as "partial 16S ribosomal RNA". It matches the Rfam family "Bacterial small subunit ribosomal RNA", at positions 1298 to 1500 of the family's 1533-position model. The record is from RNAcentral.